AGUGAACGCUGGCGGUAGGCCUAACACAUGCAAGUCGAACGGCAGCACAGUAAGAGCUUGCUCUUACGGGUGGCGAGUGGCGGACGGGUGAGGUAUACAUCGGAAUCUACUUUUUCGUGGGGGAUAACGUAGGGAAACUUACGCUAAUACCGCAUACGACCUACGGGUGAAAGCAGGGGAUCUUCGGACCUUGCGCGAUUGAAUGAGCCGAUGUCGGAUUAGCUAGUUGGCGGGGUAAAGGCCCACCAAGGCGACGAUCCGUAGCUGGUCUGAGAGGAUGAUCGGCCACACUGGAGCUGAGACACGGACCAGACUCCUGCGGGAGGCAGCAGUGGGGAAUGUUGGGCAGUGGGCGCAAGCCUGAUCCAGCCAUACCGCGUGGGUGAAGAAGGCCUUCGGGUUGUAAAGCCCUUUUGUUGGGAAAGAAAAGCAGCAGGUUAAUACCCCGCUGUUCUGACGGUACCCAAAGAAUAAGCACCGGCUAACUUCGUG
This 492-nucleotide ribosomal RNA is filed under the name uncultured bacterium. RNAcentral describes it as "partial 16S ribosomal RNA". It matches the Rfam family "Bacterial small subunit ribosomal RNA", at positions 29 to 507 of the family's 1533-position model. The record is from RNAcentral.